This 1444-nucleotide ribosomal RNA is filed under the name uncultured organism. Its description in RNAcentral is "16S ribosomal RNA". It matches the Rfam family "Bacterial small subunit ribosomal RNA". The record is from RNAcentral.
CGCUAGCUACAGGCUUAACACAUGCAAGUCGAGGGGCAUCAGGAAGAAAGCUUGCUUUCUUUGCUGGCGACCGGCGCACGGGUGAGUAACACGUAUCCAACCUGCCCUUUACUCGGGGAUAGCCUUUCGAAAGAAAGAUUAAUACCCGAUAGCAUAAUGAUUCCGCAUGGUUUCAUUAUUAAAGGAUUCCGGUAAAGGAUGGGGAUGCGUUCCAUUAGGUUGUUGGUGAGGUAACGGCCCACCAAGCCUUCGAUGGAUAGGGGUUCUGAGAGGAAGGUCCCCCACAUUGGAACUGAGACACGGUCCAAACUCCUACGGGAGGCAGCAGUGAGGAAUAUUGGUCAAUGGGCGCUAGCCUGAACCAGCCAAGUAGCGUGAAGGAUGAAGGCUCUAUGGGUCGUAAACUUCUUUUAUAUAAGAAUAAAGUGCAGUAUGUAUACUGUUUUGUAUGUAUUAUAUGAAUAAGGAUCGGCUAACUCCGUGCCAGCAGCCGCGGUAAUACGGAGGAUCCGAGCGUUAUCCGGAUUUAUUGGGUUUAAAGGGAGCGUAGGUGGACUGGUAAGUCAGUUGUGAAAGUUUGCGGCUCAACCGUAAAAUUGCAGUUGAUACUGUCAGUCUUGAGUACAGUAGAGGUGGGCGGAAUUCGUGGUGUAGCGGUGAAAUGCUUAGAUAUCACGAAGAACUCCGAUUGCGAAGGCAGCUCACUGGACUGCAACUGACACCGAUGCUCGAAAGUGUGGGUAUCAAACAGGAUUAGAUACCCUGGUAGUCCACACAGUAAACGAUGAAUACUCGCUGUUUGCGAUAUACAGUAAGCGGCCAAGCGAAAGCAUUAAGUAUUCCACCUGGGGAGUACGCCGGCAACGGUGAAACUCAAAGGAAUUGACGGGGGCCCGCACAAGCGGAGGAACAUGUGGUUUAAUUCGAUGAUACGCGAGGAACCUUACCCGGGCUUAAAUUGCAGUGGAAUGAUGUGGAAACAUGUCAGUGAGCAAUCACCGCUGUGAAGGUGCUGCAUGGUUGUCGUCAGCUCGUGCCGUGAGGUGUCGGCUUAAGUGCCAUAACGAGCGCAACCCUUAUCUUUAGUUACUAACAGGUUAUGCUGAGGACUCUAGAGAGACUGCCGUCGUAAGAUGUGAGGAAGGUGGGGAUGACGUCAAAUCAGCACGGCCCUUACGUCCGGGGCUACACACGUGUUACAAUGGGGGGUACAGAAGGCAGCUAGCGGGUGACCGUAUGCUAAUCCCAAAAUCCUCUCUCAGUUCGGAUCGAAGUCUGCAACCCGACUUCGUGAAGCUGGAUUCGCUAGUAAUCGCGCAUCAGCCACGGCGCGGUGAAUACGUUCCCGGGCCUUGUACACACCGCCCGUCAAGCCAUGGGAGCCGGGGGUACCUGAAGUACGUAACCGCAAGGAUCGUCCUAGGGUAAAACUGGUGACUGGGGC